Molecule: long non-coding RNA, 2146 nt
Organism: Mastomys coucha (southern multimammate mouse)
Lineage: Eukaryota; Metazoa; Chordata; Mammalia; Rodentia; Muridae
Exons: 5
Source: RefSeq, a predicted model, not a curated record
UUUGAUACUUAGCGUGAAAAAACAACAAUCCUCUGUUGAUGGGCUUUAAAAAAUCUUUUCCGGUGAGGUGGGAACCCAUUUUUGGGGUCGGAUCUAAAAGAACAAUGGAACCUCUCACUUGGCUUAAACCAAAAUAAAACUUGUCUUUUCGUCCCUUCUCCCUGUUGGGUGUUGGCUUUUAACUCUUUCCAAGCUGCUUUUGAGAACGGCUGUUAGUGUACUAGAUGCAAAGGUACCUUUCUUUCAGCUUGUUAAAUGUCCGUGAUGUUUGUUGUCUUUUAGAAAAGGCUAGCUACAGGAGUGCAUCUAGUAUUUCAAAAAUGACGACGGCAACAAGGUAGAUUAAAGGAAGUAGAUUUGAUAAUUAUGAUGCAAGAUGAUGGCGUUUGAUGAAUACAGCUUAUUUUUACCGAGAACUUUCGUUAAGACCAUUUGACAUCCUGAUACUUGAACAUAACUAUACUGUUUGAUACUUUUUUAAAUGAGUAGGAAAAGCCGUUAUCAGUUACCUCUCACUUGAAUGUUAAAUCUAACUUGAGUCGGUUCCUACCCUUUAUAAGUUAAAAUUCAUCGUGUUGUGUAUACUAUUAGAAGCUGUGACCGUAAAAGUUAAGGAAUAGUCUAAAAGCACAGCUCUUCUUGAAGUUACUUAGUGUAAAUAGUGAAGUAGGACUGUCGUUGAUGGGCGAUGAAGAGGGGCCAUAUUUGUUGCAUGUUGCACGUAUAAAAGUCGAGAUGUGCUUAAAAACAGAACAGUAUUGAAAAAACAGUGCUAAAAAAUUGUUUUUUGCAUAGUCAUCUAAAAAUUAUUUGAGGUAAUUUAGGAUUAGUCGUUGGAAGAACAAAUUAGGAAUGCUCAGACCUUUGUGUAUUUUUGAAUAUAUUUGUCUUCCUUCUGCGGAGCUCUUGUGCUGUAAAGGUGAAGAACUGCGUAAAGACAGUGUUGGGGAGACUUACGUAGCACAUCUAAAAUCAUAGGUGCAGGUUGAUAGGACCUUAUUUCAUAGUGUAUUUCCAGUAGGAAACAACUUGAAUACCUUUUAUGUAGUAGUACAUAUUCUAUCAGUUAAACAUACCUUGAUUUUUCAGAAUUAAAGCACUAUUUUGUUUUCUCAAAAGAAUGAUUUGAAAUAUUUUAUCACUGAAAGUGGUUUUAAAGAGAUUGAGAAUGUAGUUCAGAAUCCUUUUUGAGUUGUAAAAUGUGAAGAUAAUUGUUAGCAGUUUAAGCUCUUGUGUGUGAUCUUUCAUGAUAAAUUGGUAGGAGACAGACUGUUGUGGACCCUGGUUUGGUAUUGAAUGAAGGUCAUAGAUCCCACAAGUUUUCGAGCCUCUGCUUAGAAGACAAUGCUAAUCCCCGUUUGCUGAGAUCAAAUAGAUGCUGGUUUAAAAUUUACAGUAACCAGUGGCCAUUUUAAGUUCACUCAUUUUUCCUGGAGGAGUUGAUUUUUAAUGCUCAAUAACUGUAACUUACAAGACGAUAAUGUGGUUGCCGAAGAUUCUGAAUAAACACAGCUCUUAUCCCAGGUGUGCCAUUUUUGAAGACUGAGACAAUAAGAGUUUUAUCUUUAAGAAUAAAGGAGAGCCCUUGGGAAAUUCUGUAUUGAAUAUAGCAAAAAUGUGAAUCCUCAAAUGGAAGGAAAGGCCUAUACCAUAGACAUCGAAGCAUUUACACCCAACUUCAAGAGUUUGAAAUGGACUUUACCUCUGAGAAAUCAAGAUGGCAGCCCAUUAUGGGAACUGAGGAAAAUGGAUUAAUGCAAGAAUGCUGUGAUAUUACACAACCAACACAGGAUUCUUUUAAUGUGGAUUCCAUGAAAUGAAUGAUUCUUACCCAACACAAAUGGACAGUGGAAUUUUCUUCUAAAGACUUAUUACAUAUCAUGUACAUUUUUGACAUCUGGAGAAGAUUCUACAAUUCUACAAAUGGUAGUUUGUAUUCCUGGAAUUUCUUGCAGUUUGAUCUGAGUGACUUUAUGGAAUGUUAACUUUAAUAAAAUCUCUAAAACUUAAAAAUUUCUCAGUUUGGGCUUUUUAUAAAAUUUUUUCAGUGGACGUUUUGAUUAAAUGUUCAUUUUACCUUGAUAACAUUUUGACCUUUAUAGUUGCUUUUCAUUAAAGUAUACUGAAUAAAGCUGGUAAAAUGGAA